RNAcentral lists this ribosomal RNA (630 nucleotides) under Triticum aestivum (bread wheat). RNAcentral's name for it is "partial small subunit ribosomal RNA". Lineage: Eukaryota; Viridiplantae; Streptophyta; Magnoliopsida; Poales; Poaceae. The record is from RNAcentral.
AUGGCCCAAGUUGCGGCCCAACCAUCAGUACCGCUUUUGGAUAAGGUGGUUUCUUCGUCUGGAAAUUAUUCUCAACUGAUUAUGGACUCUGCUGGGGAUUCUGCUAGGGUUAAUGAUAUUAUUAAUGAUAUUGUUUUCAACAUUUGGAAGUGUCAGAACUGUUUAUCUAUGUUGCACCACACCAGUUCGUGCACCAAGCAGGUCAGAUGCCGUCGAUGCUUUAGAUCGGGCCACAGAGCCAAGGGGUGCUCUGGCUCUGCGCCUUCCCCAACUUACAGGUGGGUCCCACGAGCCAAUUCGGUUUCUUCGGAAUGGUCAGCGGAGAUAUACUCGCCUGGCGCCUCGGUUUCCCCCCUGGGGUCUCUACCCAGUCCUAUCACGCCUGCCACCCCAUCGCUUCCGCCAUUGCCCGCAGAGCCACCGCCCAUCACGCCUCCGCCACCUACCUCAACGCCGCCGCCCACCACACCGCCAGCUCCAUCGUCACCGCCGCCCAGCUUGCCGCCAUCCUCCAAGACUCCAUCCUCGCCAACAGCGCUUGCUCUGAAUCCAACAAUGGCCACCUUUGCUCUCGACCCCACGCCGUUCGUCCCGCAUGGUUUCGAGAUCAUCGAUGGUGGUCCGCGGUGA